RNAcentral lists this ribosomal RNA (447 nucleotides) under uncultured bacterium. RNAcentral's name for it is "bacterial SSU rRNA". It matches the Rfam family "Bacterial small subunit ribosomal RNA", at positions 330 to 794 of the family's 1533-position model. The record is from RNAcentral.
GCCAGACUCCUACGGGAGGCAGCAGUGGGGAAUAUUGCACAAUGGGGGAAACCCUGAUGCAGCGACGCCGCGUGAAGGACGAAGUAUUUCGGUACGUAAACUUCUAUCAGCAGGGAAGAAAAUGACGGUACCUGACCAAGAAGCCCCGGCUAACUACGUGCCAGCAGCCGCGGUAAUACGUAGGGGGCAAGCGUUAUCCGGAUUUACUGGGUGUAAAGGGAGCGUAGACGGCCAUGCAAGCUCGGUGUGAAAGGUGCGGGCACAACCCGCAGACUGCACUGAGAACUGUAUGGCUGGAGUGCCGGAGGGGCAGGCGGAAUUCCUGGUGUAGCGGUGAAAUGCGUAGAUAUCAGGAGGAACACCGGUGGCGAAGGCGGCUUACUGGACUGUAACUGACGUUGAGGCUCGAAAGCGUGGGGAGCAAACAGGAUUAGAUACCCCCGUACA